AAAGUUCACAGUGGUCGAGGGAAAAGUGUAAUAUAUUCAACGAAAAUUGUAACCAACUCCUGACAGUCGAAACAACAUAAUUCAAGGUCCGUUCGACAAAAAAAAGAAACCUAUUCCUUCAGCAAAGCGCCAAAUAAUCUAUUAGGUUUGGAAUAACACACAUCCUGCGAUGGCAAAUAGACAAGGAUGCCGUGGCAAAAACGUUAAAUUGAAGACAAAAACAGCUCGAAUAAGUGAAGAGCAACAGUAACAAAUAAAAAAGGAGCGAGGACGAUGAGGCGACAGGAACGACAUGUCAACAUCGAAAUGGAAAAGAGCCGAGUUGAGGACAAGAAAAACACAUCCCACUACAGGCGUUCUGUGGCAUUCGGACAAGAAAUCUAAAAAGAAAAACACACGAGACACAAGUAAAAACUGUUCGCUCCGCUCGAGAACAACACGUCGUAUACGCUACGCUCCAGUUGGGCCUGAAUCCAAAAGUUCUGGAGAGAUUUGCGCGACAAGCCAGGAGCAAAAUUAGUUCUGUGCUGCCAAAAGUGUGGCAAAAAGUUUGGUCAGAACGAAAUGGGCAGACAGACAGCCUCUUGAGCUGGCACAGAUACGUUCACUGAUCCAACUCGAUUCCAAUGCGAAUCCAAUAUCCGUGCAAAUGUACACAAAAAUGUCCGGGGAGUGCAGGCCUUGGAGCUCUUUUGGGGCUUUUUAUGCUCUUCCCCUGUUGUCAUCCGGUUCAGAUACACGGCGGAUGAGAUAAAGGAAUUUUAGCAAUUCGAUUGGCCAAUAAAAACAUUCUGACAAGGUAAUUCACAGACCAA
Long non-coding RNA from Drosophila ficusphila, 815 nucleotides. RefSeq lists it as uncharacterized. The record is from RefSeq and is a predicted model, not a curated record. The transcript has 2 exons. NCBI's taxonomy places the organism in Eukaryota, Metazoa, Arthropoda, Insecta, Diptera, Drosophilidae.